Molecule: ribosomal RNA, 310 nt
Filed under: Bacillus velezensis
Lineage: Bacteria; Bacillati; Bacillota; Bacilli; Caryophanales; Bacillaceae
Description: bacterial LSU rRNA
Rfam family: Bacterial large subunit ribosomal RNA
Source: RNAcentral
AGCUUUGAUCCGGAGAUUUCCGAAUGGGGAAACCCACCACUCGUAAUGGAGUGGUAUCCAUAUCUGAAUACAUAGGAUAUGAGAAGGCAGACCCGGGGAACUGAAACAUCGAAGUACCCGGAGGAAGAGAAAGCAAAUGCGAUUCCCUGAGUAGCGGCGAGCGAAACGGGACCAGCCCAAACCAAGAGGCUUGCCUCUUGGGGUUGUAGGACACUCUGUACGGAGUUACAAAGGAACGAGGUAGAUGAAGAGGUCUGGAAAGGCCCGCCAUAGGAGGUAACAGCCCUGUAGUCAAAACUUCGUUCUCUCC